GUGAGGAAUUUUCCGCAAUGGGCGAAAGCCUGACGGAGCAAUGCCGCGUGAAGGAUGAAGGCCUAUGGGUUGUAAACUUCUUUUCUCAGAAAAGAAUUAUGACGGUAUCUGAGGAAUAAGCAUCGGCUAACUCUGUGCCAGCAGCCGCGGUAAGACAGAGGAUGCAAGCGUUAUCCGGAAUGAUUGGGCGUAAAGCGUCUGUAGGUUGUUUAAAAAGUAUUCUGUCAAAGAUUAGGGCUUAACCCUAGAUAGGCAGAAUAAACUUUUAAGCUAGAGUUUGGUAGAGGCAGAGGGAAUUCCCGGUGGAGCGGUGAAAUGCGUAGAUAUCGGGAGGAACACCAAAGGCGAAGGCACUCUGCUGGGCCAAUACUAACACUGAGAGGCGAAAGCGAGGGGAGCAAAUGGGAUUAGAAACCCUUGUAGUCC
RNAcentral lists this ribosomal RNA (426 nucleotides) under uncultured bacterium. RNAcentral describes it as "partial 16S ribosomal RNA". It matches the Rfam family "Bacterial small subunit ribosomal RNA", at positions 354 to 796 of the family's 1533-position model. The record is from RNAcentral.